GAUGAACGCUGGCGGCGUGCCUAAUACAUGCAAGUCGAGCGAACGGACGAGAAGCUUGCUUCUCUGAUGUUAGCGGCGGACGGGUGAGUAACACGUGGAUAACCUACCUAUAAGACUGGGAUAACUUCGGGAAACCGGAGCUAAUACCGGAUAAUAUUUUGAACCGCAUGGUUCAAAAGUAAAAGACGGUCUUGCUGUCACUUAUAGAUGGAUCCGCGCUGCAUUAGCUAGUUGGUAAGGUAACGGCUUACCAAGGCAACGAUGCAUAGCCGACCUGAGAGGGUGAUCGGCCACACUGGAACUGAGACACGGUUCAGACUCCUACGGGAGGCAGCAGUAGGGAAUCUUCCGCAAUGGGCGAAAGCCUGACGGAGCAACGCCGCGUGAGUGAUGAAGGUCUUCGGAUCGUAAAACUCUGUUAUUAGGGAAGAACAUAUGUGUAAGUAACUGUGCACAUCUUGACGGUACCUAAGCAGAAAGCCACGGCUAACUACGU
This 496-nucleotide ribosomal RNA is filed under the name uncultured bacterium. RNAcentral describes it as "partial 16S ribosomal RNA". It matches the Rfam family "Bacterial small subunit ribosomal RNA", at positions 28 to 506 of the family's 1533-position model. The record is from RNAcentral.